This 496-nucleotide ribosomal RNA is filed under the name uncultured bacterium. RNAcentral describes it as "partial 16S ribosomal RNA". It matches the Rfam family "Bacterial small subunit ribosomal RNA", at positions 28 to 506 of the family's 1533-position model. The record is from RNAcentral.
GAUGAACGCUGGCGGCGUGCCUAAUACAUGCAAGUCGAGCGAACAGACGAGGAGCUUGCUCCUCUGACGUUAGCGGCGGACGGGUGAGUAACACGUGGAUAACCUACCUAUAAGACUGGGAUAACUUCGGGAAACCGGAGCUAAUACCGGAUAAUAUAUUGAACCGCAUGGUUCAAUAGUGAAAGACGGUUUUGCUGUCACUUAUAGAUGGAUCCGCGCCGCAUUAGCUAGUUGGUAAGGUAACGGCUUACCAAGGCAACGAUGCGUAGCCGACCUGAGAGGGUGAUCGGCCACACUGGAACUGAGACACGGUCCAGACUCCUACGGGAGGCAGCAGUAGGGAAUCUUCCGCAAUGGGCGAAAGCCUGACGGAGCAACGCCGCGUGAGUGAUGAAGGUCUUCUGAUCGUAAAACUCUGUUAUUAGGGAAGAACAAAUGUGUAAGUAACUAUGCACGUCUUGACGGUACCUAAUCAGAAAGCCACAGCUAACUACGU